AGAGUUUGAUCCUGGCUCAGAGUGAACGCUGGCGGCGUGCUUAACACAUGCAAGUCGAACGAGAACGGUCCUUCGGGAUGUCAGCUAAGUGGCGGACGGGUGAGUAAUGUAUAGUUAAUCUGCCCUUUAGAGGGGGAUAACAGUUGGAAACGACUGCUAAUACCCCAUACUCCUUUAUAGUUAAUCUAUAUUGGGAAACGUUUUUUCGCUAAAGGAUGAGACUAUAUGGUAUCAGGUAGUUGGUGGGGUAAGAGCCUACCAAGCCAAUGACGCCUAGCUGGUCUGAGAGGAUGAUCAGCCACACUGGAACUGAGACACGGUCCAGACUCCUACGGGAGGCAGCAGUGGGGAAUAUUGCACAAUGGAGGUAACUCUGAUGCAGCAACGCCGCGUGGAGGAUGACGCAUUUCGGUGUGUAAACUCCUUUUAUAUGGGAAGAUAAUGACGGUACCGUAUGAAUAGGCACCGGCUAACUCCGUGCCAGCAGCCGCGGUAAUACGGAGGGUGCAAGCGUUACUCGGAAUCACUGGGCGUAAACGCGCGCAGGCGGCCUUUUGAGUUGGAUGUGAAACCCAAUGGCUCACCCAUACAACUGCACCCAAACUAUUAGGCUAGAGUGUGGGAGAGGAAAAUUGUAAUUAGAUUGUGUACGUGAAAACCAGGAUAGAUACCUGUAGUCCACGCCUAAACGAUGAAUGUUAGUCGUCGGGUAGCUAGUCUAUUCGGUGAUGCAGCUAACGCAUUAAACAUUCCGCCUGGGGAGUACGGUCGCAAGAUUUAAAACUCAAAGGAAUAGACGGGGACCGCACAAGUGGUGGAGCAUGUGGUUUAAUUCGAAGAUACGCGAAGAACCUUACCUAGCCUUGACAUAUUAAAGAACACUUUAGAGAUAGAGUGGUGCCUUCGGGAGCUUUUAUACAGGUGCUGCACGGCUGUCGUCAGCUCGUGUCGUGAGAUGUUGGGUUAAGUCCCGCAACGAGCGCAACCCUCGUCACUAGUUACUAACGGUUCGGCCGAGGACUCUAGUGAGACUGCCUUCGCAAGGAGGAGGAAGGUGAGGACGACGUCAAGUCAUCAUGGCCCUUACGGCUAGGGCAACACACGUGCUACAAUGGGCAGGACAACGAGACGCAAUACCGCGAGGUGGAGCAAAUCUAUAAACCUGUUCUCAGUUCGGAUUGUAGUCUGCAACUCGACUACAUGAAGCUGGAAUCACUAGUAAUCGUAGAUCAGCUAUGCUACGGUGAAUACGUUCCCGGGUCUUGUACUCACCGCCCGUCACACCAUGGGAGUUGAUUUCACCCGAAGCGGGGAAGCUAAACUGGCUACCCUCCACGGUGGAAUCAGCGACUGGGGUGAAGUCGUAACAAGGUAACC
This 1377-nucleotide ribosomal RNA is filed under the name uncultured bacterium. RNAcentral describes it as "bacterial SSU rRNA". It matches the Rfam family "Bacterial small subunit ribosomal RNA". The record is from RNAcentral.